RNAcentral lists this ribosomal RNA (479 nucleotides) under uncultured bacterium. RNAcentral's name for it is "partial 16S ribosomal RNA". It matches the Rfam family "Bacterial small subunit ribosomal RNA", at positions 28 to 507 of the family's 1533-position model. The record is from RNAcentral.
GAUGAACGCUAGCGGGAGGCCUAACACAUGCAAGCCGAGCGGUAUUGUUUCUUCGGAAAUGCGAGAGCGGCGUACGGGUGCGUAACACGUGUGCAACCUGCCUUUAUCUGGGGGAUAGCCUUUCGAAAGGAAGAUUAAUACUCCAUAAUAUAUUGAACGGCAUCGUUUAAUAUUGAAAGCUCCGGCGGAUAGAGAUGGGCACGCGCAAGAUUAGCUAGUUGGUGAGGUAACGGCUCACCAAGGCGAUGAUCUUUAGGGGGCCUGAGAGGGUGAUCCCCCACACUGGUACUGAGACACGGACCAGAAUCCUACGGGAGGCAGCAGUGAGGAAUAUUGGGCAAUGGGUGCAAGCCUGAACCAGCCAUCCCGCGUGAAGGACGACUGCCCUAGGGGUUGUAAACUUCUUUUGUAUAGGGAUAAACCUACCCUCGAGAGGGUAGCUGAAGGUACUAUACGAAUAAGCACCGGCUAACUCCGUG